RNAcentral lists this small nucleolar RNA (123 nucleotides) under Nannospalax galili (Upper Galilee mountains blind mole rat). RNAcentral's name for it is "Small nucleolar RNA SNORA25 (ENSNGAG00000006747.1)". The record is from RNAcentral. Lineage: Eukaryota; Metazoa; Chordata; Mammalia; Rodentia; Spalacidae.
AGCUCAUUUCAAAGAGGGUUUGUUGGGCUGUGUGGCCAGAGCCUGUAACGCUGGGACCAGACUGAUGUUCUCCACAGGGUGCCAUGGUCACUUCAUACUCUCUUUUCUUGAGGAGACAUAAAA